Molecule: ribosomal RNA, 291 nt
Filed under: Triticum aestivum (bread wheat)
Lineage: Eukaryota; Viridiplantae; Streptophyta; Magnoliopsida; Poales; Poaceae
Description: partial small subunit ribosomal RNA
Source: RNAcentral
AUGGAGGCGCUACAAGACACCAGUUCCCUACAGCUGCAGGCGGCGAUUCGAUGGCUGCUGCACACCAUCCUGCCAAGCCUCCUAGUCGGCGGCAAGCUGGACGGGUGGAUUCGCCAAGCAGGGCUCGGCAGCCAGGUGGAGGGGCUCCGGGACGAGAUCCAGCAGGUCGACGGGGUGGUCUCCGCCGUCAACGCCAGGGCGACCAGGAAUAGUUCGCUGGUCAGAUCCUUCUCGGUCCUAAAGGAGCUGCUCUACGAUGCCGACGACGUGGUCGACGAGCUCGACUGCUAG